Molecule: unclassified non-coding RNA, 116 nt
Filed under: Vibrio marisflavi
Lineage: Bacteria; Pseudomonadati; Pseudomonadota; Gammaproteobacteria; Vibrionales; Vibrionaceae
Description: PAGEV
Rfam family: PAGEV RNA
Source: RNAcentral
CUCUGUUUGGAUCAAGAUGUUUUGGACAGAGCUACGCACAUCAGUCAGCGAUCAAGGGAAAUUCCAUAGCUGAUAGGUAAAGGCACUAAUCAAAACUAAGCGAAAGCUCGAUAACA